Molecule: transfer RNA, 74 nt
Filed under: Sulfurivirga caldicuralii
Lineage: Bacteria; Pseudomonadati; Pseudomonadota; Gammaproteobacteria; Thiotrichales; Piscirickettsiaceae
Rfam family: tRNA
About the family: Transfer RNA (tRNA) molecules are approximately 80 nucleotides in length. Their secondary structure includes four short double-helical elements and three loops (D, anti-codon, and T loops).
Source: Rfam by way of RNAcentral
AGGCGCGUAGCUCAGCUGGUUAGAGCACCACCUUGACAUGGUGGGGGUCGCUGGUUCGACUCCAGUCGCGCCUA